This 319-nucleotide ribosomal RNA is filed under the name Pacal sp. AMNH LP14508. RNAcentral describes it as "partial small subunit ribosomal RNA". The record is from RNAcentral. Lineage: Eukaryota; Metazoa; Arthropoda; Arachnida; Schizomida; Hubbardiidae.
AUUAAUGAAUUAUAUUGAUUGAAUUUUAUAUGAAGUUCAAUUGUAAAAUUUAAAGAUAUUGGCGGUGUUUUGUUUUAUUCUGAGAAUCUUGUGUAAUUAAAAUGAUUGUACACAUUUUAUCUUACCUUUAUAAAUUGUUGGCUUAUGUAUUGCUGUUUAAUUUAUGUUUUGUUUUUGAAUAGAUUUAAUUAUAAAAAUAAUGAAAAAUUCAAGUCAAGAUGUAGUUAUUUAGGGGUUUAUAUGAGUUGCUUUUUUUUAGGAUUAAAAGAGUAUAAAAUGAUUUGAAAAAGUUAUUAAUAGGAGGAUUAGGUUGUAAAAA